ACUUCCUUUGUGGAGAAGCCUGGAUGAGUUGAAGAGGUGUUCCCCUGGUCCCAGGGAUUCUAAUGGUUCCACUAAAAGAAGCAUGGGAAUGCCCUACACCUGCUGUUAUUCCUGCUUCCUUCCCACUUUUUCAUCUUUCAAGGUAAUCGUUAAUCUAAUCCCACAACAAACAUCACCAUAUUACUCCAGGUUGUUCUGGGCAUCAGGGAUCCAAGUGUAAAUGAGAGAGACUCAGUCUCUGCCAUCAUGGAUCUCAUGGUCACAUCUCAAAUGAGACCAAAAUGCCAUCCCCAUGUCCACAGGCAUGGGAGGACUAACUCUCGCACUCUAGCCUUGGAGCCUAUUGCUAUUCCACUAGGAAUAGCUGCUCCUUCUUCCUACCAACCCAUGUCUGGCUCACGUGAUCGCCAGAGUCCAGCUUGAAGUAGAUUUCUACCAGAGGUCCUUCCCUGAUCACUGCCCUAGGCCACUCCACUUAGCUGCCUCUAUGCUGCACCCACUGGGGAUUCAAGUGUUUCCGGGACACACUGGGUCCUUCAGUUGCUAUAAUGAUUGUAGGUUUCUUAGCUUGAUAGGAGGUUCUAACAGACCUGAAAUCUGUUUUGCUCCCUACCUUUAUGACUGUGCCUGAUGUAACAAGUACUGUUUGUUUGUUGCCCACACGAAUCUAUUGCCCUCUUCCUGGCCAGUAGAAACCAAUUUUGUUUCCAUAUUGACACUUUCCUCUGAGGCCUUCUGCUGAGGACGGGUGACUUUAUCUCUAGCCAC
This 768-nucleotide long non-coding RNA is filed under the name Homo sapiens (human). RNAcentral describes it as "non-protein coding lnc-PLXNA4-2:3". The record is from RNAcentral. Lineage: Eukaryota; Metazoa; Chordata; Mammalia; Primates; Hominidae.